This is a non-coding RNA of Ixodes scapularis (black-legged tick), 82 nucleotides long. Lineage: Eukaryota; Metazoa; Arthropoda; Arachnida; Ixodida; Ixodidae. The record is from Rfam.
GCAGUCGUGGCCGAGUGGUUAAGGUGAUUUACUAGAAAUCCAUUGCGGUCUCCCCGCACAGGUUCGAAUCCUAUCGACUGCG